AGACUGGCAGACAGGUGGGGACUGUGAUCAUCUGGCCAGCCUCUCUGCACCUGGCCUGCCCACUCCAGAGUCCCCGCCCUGCUCUCAGCUGGACAUCUCGGGCACCUGAAUUCCCUUCUGCCUUGAGUCGAGAGGAUGCCUCCAAGCUCCAGGCACAUCAAGGGAAGUGGCUGCCCGGGCAUCUGCAGUAUUCAGUGCCAGUCCUCAGGUGACCGCUAGGGGACAGUGUGGCCCGACUCCUGCUGCCACCUGGUGCCCCACGGCCCAGCCCCGCUGGUUGAGCAGUGCUGUGUGCUGCAGUUCAGAGCCAUGGCCCGCAGCUAUCGUCACCACCUACACCUGCUGCUUCUCCCCCUCGACCACAGCCACAGUUGGUACCCAGCCUGUUGUGGCAGCUGGGACAUUUGCUGGGGAGACCUGCCUGGAGUCACUGAGCUGAUGGUGGAAGUCAGGAUGGAAAGGGGAUUGUUCUCUAGACACCUUCUGUCUUCUUCUCACUCUCACUCCUGCUCGGAAAUGGAUGCUGUCGGGGACUUCCCUGGUGGUCCAGUGGCCGAGAGUGCUCCCAGAGCAGGGGGCUGGGGUUCCAUCCCUGGUCAGGGAACUAGAUCCCACAUGUAACAACUAAGAGUUCACAUGCAGCAACUAAGACCUGGCACAGCCAAAUAAAUGAAUAAAUAAAUAUUAAGA
Bos taurus (domestic cattle) is the source of this 690-nucleotide long non-coding RNA. Lineage: Eukaryota; Metazoa; Chordata; Mammalia; Artiodactyla; Bovidae. The record is from Ensembl.